Molecule: non-coding RNA, 112 nt
Organism: Podarcis lilfordi (Lilford's wall lizard)
Lineage: Eukaryota; Metazoa; Chordata; Lepidosauria; Squamata; Lacertidae
Source: the annotation of a GenBank genome assembly
AACUGAGUUUGUUAUUGGUAUGAGCUUUCAUGUGCAUGCACACUUCUUCAGAUACCACUUCAGAUAAGUGUGCAUGCACACGAAAGCUCAUACCAAUAACAAACUUAGUUGG